UGUUACACCAGGAAAAAUCUAUUAGAAUUGGGAACCACCUAUAUCGGUUCUUGGAUGAUGAUCCAACUGUAUCUCAUUCAUGGUUCAGACAGUUAUUCAGAAUAGGAAGGGAUAACUGAGUUGAGUUCAUGGAUUAGAGUAGGUCGAGUAAAUUAUGCUUUGGCAGAUGCUUUCUUUGACUUAAUGUCAAUUAAUUGACGUUUAUCAUAGGCUCAAUGUGCAUGUGCAGAUGCUUUUUAUUUUUUCAAUUGAUGCUUUAGCAGUUUCUAUUAUCUACUUUUUGGGGUAUAAAUCGUAUCUAUCAUUUCAAAAUACAUGUUCUUCAUGACAAUCUAUGGUAUUUAUAAAAUAAUUCAUGUUAGAGUAAUUUUUUUUCCUUUCCCUUCACUGCAGUCUCGGCAAAAAGCACUCGCAGACUUGCAGCAAAUGCACUGUGUACCUUGAGAAGCUGAGCGAUAUGCAGUGCCAACCUGAGUCACAGCUGAAGUUCAUUACAGAGGCCUGGCAACAGAUGAGUACUAAAAUUGACAUAUGCUGAUGGAUAUUAUUUGCUAGAACAUGAACAUGCCAAGUUGUUUGAGUACUUGCAAGGUAUGUCAUUUUCUCAAGCCCGAAGAGUAAUUUCUGUUUCUGCAGGUGAAGCUGAGUCUGGGUUAGAACGGCUUCAUCAAUGUCCAGAAGAUGAACUACAAGAUUUCGCACAAAAGAUUUCAAUGAGUUUCGCACAAAACUUGUUGGAUUGACCAGGUUACGUUCCACUAAAGAUAUUACACUACUUUUCUAAUUGGAUAAAUUGACUCAGGUUACAAUGAUAUAGCUUUUCAGUUUAUUAAUACUAACAUAUUAGUUUUGCUAAGUGUGAAUGCCAUAAGUGAAGUUUUAUGGAAAUGAUGAAUGGGCCAAUCUAAAAUACCAAAUUUCAGCUGAUGAAUGAACUCUUAUAUGACUGCUACUGCAUAUACUCAUCUUUUAUUUUGUUGGGUUUUAUUUUUAUUUCAUUUUUUGUGGUGAACUGCAAUGUUGGUUUCGCAAAGAACUGAACUUUAGCUUAUCUAUAGGUCUAUACGAAUGUAGUUUUUCUCUUUUUUUUGUCUCAAGUAUUUGGUUGGUUUUAUUUAACAAUCUUUUGGAAUAUAGAGAAUCUUUGCACCACCAUCUUAUUCCUGCAUUUUCUGAAAAUUUGGCAUUGAGAUGUUAGGCAAAGGUGUCUCAUGGGAACCACAGAUUGCUCAAAACUAUCUCAAAGAAGUGGAGAUUUGUUAUGUAGCUUAGAGUAUGCCAACUAUGAAGCUAAGAAAAAUGGUGCGGAAAUUAGCUGUUUGUUAUUGACGAGGUAUAAUCCAAUAGCUUAUAAGUAUGCUCCUAUAUUUGACACUUCAAAUAUGUCUAGAACCGAUGUUACUAUUACUACUUUCAUUUUUACAGAAGGAAGGGUUUUUCAUUCUUCAUUUCUUGCUAUAUUACCUUGGGUUGUGCAAACUAUUCUUUAUAGGAGACCCCUUCAAAUAUAUUAGUUAAUUCUUGCUAAUAUUUGUGCAAACUGUUUUUGUUAUGUUGAA
This is a non-coding RNA of Malus domestica (apple), 1559 nucleotides long. The record is from RefSeq and is a predicted model, not a curated record. NCBI's taxonomy places the organism in Eukaryota, Viridiplantae, Streptophyta, Magnoliopsida, Rosales, Rosaceae.